Long non-coding RNA from Engraulis encrasicolus (European anchovy), 429 nucleotides. RefSeq lists it as uncharacterized. The transcript has 3 exons. The record is from RefSeq and is a predicted model, not a curated record. NCBI's taxonomy places the organism in Eukaryota, Metazoa, Chordata, Actinopteri, Clupeiformes, Engraulidae.
AGAAAUGCUGGGUUGUUUUGUCAACCCAAGUGCUGAAUAACAGCUGUUGGGUAAACGUGUUGGGUUAUUCUAAUGCAGUGUUGGGUUACUCUAACUCAAUAUUGGUACAGUGGGGAACAUCUAUGCUACUCUGCUGAUUGGGUUAUUAGUUAGGUUACACAAUAACCCAACUCACUGGUUUAUUGUACCCAACACUGUGUUGCCCUGCUACGUUUGAAAUCAGAGUUCCCUGCAGAUAACGUUCUUUCUGCCUGCCCGCCCUGGAAGAAGUGAACUGACCGGAGUCUUCAACAAAAAUGAAGCUACGAAAAGAAGGAAGGAGACGUCCAGGACUGAACAGAGCUGUCACCUGUCACAGUGCAGUGCACCGACUGACUGCCGCUAUUUGCUUGGAUGUUGCUGAAAGAAAGGAGGCAUUCUUCAUUGUGC